RNAcentral lists this ribosomal RNA (384 nucleotides) under Triticum aestivum (bread wheat). RNAcentral describes it as "partial small subunit ribosomal RNA". Lineage: Eukaryota; Viridiplantae; Streptophyta; Magnoliopsida; Poales; Poaceae. The record is from RNAcentral.
AUGGUGAAGGCAAUUGUCAAUAAUGUAGAGACUCAGUACUAUGGUGUUCUAAAAGAAGUUCUGGAGUUGCGGUACCCCAAAAACAAGCAUGGAGAAAGGUCGAUCUUUUUGUUUCGUGGUGAUUGGUUUGAUCUCCAUGGCAAGGCGACCGGCAUGAAAGAUGAUGGUUACUUCAAAAGUCUUAAUGUUAAGGCGCUUCGAUACAAGAAGGAUCCUUUUAUCUUGGCUUCUCAAGCAGAACAAGUGUUUUACAUGGAGGACACAAAAUAUGGAAAGGACUGGAAUGUGGUGCAGACUUUCAGUCAUAGACAUUUGUACGAUGUCCCUGAACUGGAGACAGGCGAGCUCAAUGCUACAGAUGCAUACCAGGAAGAAAUGCCCUCG